Molecule: long non-coding RNA, 348 nt
Filed under: Equus asinus (donkey)
Lineage: Eukaryota; Metazoa; Chordata; Mammalia; Perissodactyla; Equidae
Description: lncRNA (ENSEASG00005037709.1)
Source: RNAcentral
UUGGCCCGGAAACCUUCUAUUUAUAUAUGUUUUGGAAGAAAAAUAACUUUGCUACUAUUUGCCUAAUUCAUGCUGCACCGAGAAGAAGAGAGUUCGAGAAAUUCUUAGGAAACAGAAGGCCAGCACAGAUACUCACGAACAUAUCUCUAAUUUUAUUAUGAAAAUCAAUAGAAAAACAAGUGUCAGUAUGUGGAAGUCCUAUUAACGGCAGUUUUCUUGAACGAUGGAGUGGAUAACACCUGUGGCCAAAAUCUUGAGAAUGGGACGAAAUGUUUAAUUACUGUUCCUCACCUGUUCUUUUGCAUGCAUGCUCUGAAAACGUUUUGACUUCGAAUAUGACUGACAUUU